RNAcentral lists this ribosomal RNA (1379 nucleotides) under Plantibacter cousiniae (nom. nud.). RNAcentral's name for it is "Plantibacter cousiniae 16S ribosomal RNA". It matches the Rfam family "Bacterial small subunit ribosomal RNA". Lineage: Bacteria; Bacillati; Actinomycetota; Actinomycetes; Micrococcales; Microbacteriaceae. The record is from RNAcentral.
ACGAUGAAGCCCAGCUUGCUGGGUGGAUUAGUGGCGAACGGGUGAGUAACACGUGAGUAACCUGCCCUUGACUCUGGGAUAAGCGUUGGAAACGACGUCUAAUACCGGAUACGAGCUUCCACCGCAUGGUGAGUUGCUGGAAAGAAUUUUGGUCAAGGAUGGACUCGCGGCCUAUCAGCUUGUUGGUGAGGUAAUGGCUCACCAAGGCGACGACGGGUAGCCGGCCUGAGAGGGUGACCGGCCACACUGGGACUGAGACACGGCCCAGACUCCUACGGGAGGCAGCAGUGGGGAAUAUUGCACAAUGGGCGAAAGCCUGAUGCAGCAACGCCGCGUGAGGGACGACGGCCUUCGGGUUGUAAACCUCUUUUAGCAGGGAAGAAGCGAAAGUGACGGUACCUGCAGAAAAAGCACCGGCUAACUACGUGCCAGCAGCCGCGGUAAUACGUAGGGUGCAAGCGUUGUCCGGAAUUAUUGGGCGUAAAGAGCUCGUAGGCGGUUUGUCGCGUCUGCUGUGAAAUCCCGAGGCUCAACCUCGGGUCUGCAGUGGGUACGGGCAGACUAGAGUGCGGUAGGGGAGAUUGGAAUUCCUGGUGUAGCGGUGGAAUGCGCAGAUAUCAGGAGGAACACCGAUGGCGAAGGCAGAUCUCUGGGCCGCUACUGACGCUGAGGAGCGAAAGGGUGGGGAGCAAACAGGCUUAGAUACCCUGGUAGUCCACCCCGUAAACGUUGGGCGCUAGAUGUGGGGACCAUUCCACGGUUUCCGUGUCGUAGCUAACGCAUUAAGCGCCCCGCCUGGGGAGUACGGCCGCAAGGCUAAAACUCAAAGGAAUUGACGGGGGCCCGCACAAGCGGCGGAGCAUGCGGAUUAAUUCGAUGCAACGCGAAGAACCUUACCAAGGCUUGACAUAUACGAGAACGGGCCAGAAAUGGUCAACUCUUUGGACACUYGUAAACAGGUGGUGCAUGGUUGUCGUCAGCUCGUGUCGUGAGAUGUUGGGUUAAGUCCCGCAACGAGCGCAACCCUCGUUCUAUGUUGCCAGCACGUAAUGGUGGGAACUCAUGGGAUACUGCCGGGGUCAACUCGGAGGAAGGUGGGGACGACGUCAAAUCAUCAUGCCCCUUAUGUCUUGGGCUUCACGCAUGCUACAAUGGCCAGUACAAAGGGCUGCAAUACCGUAAGGUGGAGCGAAUCCCAAAAAGCUGGUCCCAGUUCGGAUUGAGGUCUGCAACUCGACCUCAUGAAGUCGGAGUCGCUAGUAAUCGCAGAUCAGCAACGCUGCGGUGAAUACGUUCCCGGGCCUUGUACACACCGCCCGUCAAGUCAUGAAAGUCGGUAACACCCGAAGCCAGUGGCCUAACCGCAAGGAUGGAGCUUC